This 68-nucleotide transfer RNA is filed under the name Phoetalia pallida. RNAcentral's name for it is "tRNA-Leu". It matches the Rfam family "tRNA". Rfam says of the family: Transfer RNA (tRNA) molecules are approximately 80 nucleotides in length. Their secondary structure includes four short double-helical elements and three loops (D, anti-codon, and T loops). Lineage: Eukaryota; Metazoa; Arthropoda; Insecta; Blattodea; Blaberidae. The record is from RNAcentral.
ACUAUUUUGGCAGAAUGAGUGUAUUAGAUUUAGAAUCUAUAAAUGUAGGAUAUAAUCUACAAAUAGUA